This 253-nucleotide ribosomal RNA is filed under the name uncultured bacterium. Its description in RNAcentral is "partial 16S ribosomal RNA". It matches the Rfam family "Bacterial small subunit ribosomal RNA", at positions 524 to 776 of the family's 1533-position model. The record is from RNAcentral.
UACAGAGGGUGCAAGCGUUGUUCGGAUUCAUUGGGCGUAAAGGGUGUGUAGGUGGCGCCGUAAGUCGGGUGUGAAAUUUCGGAGCUUAACUCCGAAACUGCAUUCGAUACUGCGGUGCUUGAGGACUGGAGAGGAGACUGGAAUUCAAGGUGUAGCAGUGAAAUGCGUAGAGAUCAUGAGGAAGACCAGUGGCGAAGGCGGGUCUCUGGACAGUUCCUGACACUGAGACACGAAGGCCAGGGGAGCAAACGGG